AUUGAACGCUGGCGGCAUGCCUUACACAUGCAAGUCGAACGGCAGCACGGGAGCAAUCCUGGUGGCGAGUGGCGAACGGGUGAGUAAAGUAUCGGAACGUGCCCAGUCGUGGGGGAUAACGUAGCGAAAGUUACGCUAAUACCGCAUACGAUCUAUGGAUGAAAGCGGGGGAUCGCAAGACCUCGCGCGAUCGGAGCGGCCGAUAUCAGAUUAGGUAGUUGGUGGGGUAAAGGCUAACCAAGCCGACGAUCUGUAGCUGGUCUGAGAGGACGACCAGCCACACUGGGACUGAGACACGGCCCAGACUCCUACGGGAGGCAGCAGUGGGGAAUUUUGGACAAUGGGCGAAAGCCUGAUCCAGCCAUGCCGCGUGCAGGAUGAAGGCCUUCGGGUUGUAAACUGCUUUUGUACGGAACGAAAAGGUUUGGGCUAAUAAGCUGAGCUCAUGACGGUACCGUAAGAAUAAGCACCGGCUAACUACGUGCCAGCCGCCGCCGUAA
Molecule: ribosomal RNA, 500 nt
Filed under: uncultured bacterium
Lineage: Bacteria
Description: partial 16S ribosomal RNA
Rfam family: Bacterial small subunit ribosomal RNA
Source: RNAcentral